GGAGAGGUGUCCGAGUGGCCGAAGGAGCACGCUUGGAAAGCGUGUGUACGGCAACGUACCGAGGGUUCGAAUCCCUCCCUCUCCGCCA
RNAcentral lists this transfer RNA (88 nucleotides) under Pseudomonadota bacterium. Its description in RNAcentral is "Proteobacteria bacterium tRNA-Ser". It matches the Rfam family "tRNA". Rfam says of the family: Transfer RNA (tRNA) molecules are approximately 80 nucleotides in length. Their secondary structure includes four short double-helical elements and three loops (D, anti-codon, and T loops). The record is from RNAcentral. RNAcentral also lists the same sequence under 1 other name. Lineage: Bacteria; Pseudomonadati; Pseudomonadota.